AAAGUGAUUCUCAACAUUUGAUAUUGUUUGGGUAAUUUAACCAAAAUUGCUUUUAGAUGUGUAAAUUACUAAAAUGGGUUUAUUGGGUUUAUUUCAUAUGCAUAUAUUUAAAACUAAAUUUCAUUUAAUAUUUCAAUAUGGUUUUUUCUGGAUACAUUUCAAUACGGAUUUUAGUUCAAGACUUGUGAAGAUGAUUAUUUAAUUAAUUAAUUGAUGUAACCCACCUCAAGUUUUAUCUCAUUAAUAAAAAUAAUUUUCAAUUCAAAAACAAACAAAAAAGAAUUCUCUAGAACCUGACUUUUCAUUAAUAAAAAAUAGAAAAAUAGGACUAUGAACUCAAUUUCAUCUCGCCCAUUCUAAACUUGUGUACUUUUCUCUUGAAAUUUCCAUCUUCCUCAUUCUCAACUUGUGAAAUUCUUUUGUAACAAUUUGUGGAUGGCUAAAACAACUCCUCAAUCUUCCUCAUCCACUUUCAUUUUUCUGCACAAAAUAAGAAGAAAACGUUCCUGAGAAAAAAAUUGAAACUUGAAGAUGUUCAAUGAUGAAGAAGUUAGGGGUAAUUAGGUAAGUAUAUCCGUCACCUAAAAAUAAAUAGUAUGGAAUCGAUUUUGUUUUGACGUGGAAGCUCCAAUUUGUGGCUUCCAAGUGACGCACGUUUGGGGCUAGAUCUGCGUUUGAGGGAAGCGAUUCUGCAGUUAUCCAAACAUUGACAAAUUUGCUCAAAUCACGUUUCCUCAUCUAAACUCGCGUUUGGGGUAAAAAAACGCAGAACCAAACAGUCACUUAGU
RNAcentral lists this long non-coding RNA (788 nucleotides) under Trifolium pratense (red clover). RNAcentral describes it as "long non-coding RNA (TPRA_LNC010965)". Lineage: Eukaryota; Viridiplantae; Streptophyta; Magnoliopsida; Fabales; Fabaceae. The record is from RNAcentral.